This 255-nucleotide ribosomal RNA is filed under the name uncultured bacterium. Its description in RNAcentral is "partial 16S ribosomal RNA". It matches the Rfam family "Bacterial small subunit ribosomal RNA", at positions 524 to 776 of the family's 1533-position model. The record is from RNAcentral.
UACGUAGGGGGCUAGCGUUGUCCGGAAUCAUUGGGCGUAAAGCGCGUGUAGGCGGUCCGGUAAGUCCGCUGUGAAAGUCGGGGGGCUCAACCCUCGGAUGCCGGUGGAUACUGUCGGGCUUGAGUACGGAAGAGGCGAGUGGAAUUCCUGGUGGUAGCGGUGAAAUGCGCAGAUAUCAGGAGGAACACCAAUUGCGAAGGCAGCUCGCUGGGACGUUACUGACGCUGAGACGCGAAAGCGUGGGGAGCAAACAGG